This 530-nucleotide ribosomal RNA is filed under the name uncultured eukaryote. RNAcentral's name for it is "bacterial SSU rRNA". It matches the Rfam family "Eukaryotic small subunit ribosomal RNA", at positions 521 to 1050 of the family's 1831-position model. The record is from RNAcentral.
CGAUUCGAACCACCUAACGAGGAACGAUCGGAGGGCAAGUCUGGUGCCAGCAGCCGCGGUAAUUCCAGCUCCAAUAGCGUACGUUAAAGUUGCUGCAGUUAAAAAGCUCGUAGUUGAACGUUCGGGUUCCGCGGGACGGGGCCGCCCCGCGAGGGACGGCGCCGCCCCGGGGCUCGUGAUAUCUCAUCUCGCCGCCCGUCGCGAGGCGGACGGAGGGAUGGAUGAGGUUACCUGGAAAAAAUCGGGGCGAUCUAGGCGGGCGAACCUCGCCAACGAACGAUCGGACAUGGGAUAACGGAAGAGGGCGUCGGUCUCGACUUCGUCGGUUCCUCGGGCCGAGGCACGUACGGUGAAUAGGGACGGUCGGGGCCGCCCGUACCGGGUCGUGAGAGGUGAAAUUCUAGGAUCGACCCGAGACGAACCGCCGCGAAAGCAUUCGGCAAGGACGCUUCAUUAAUCAAGAACGAAAGUCGGGGAUCGAAGACGAUCAGAUACCGUCGUAGUCCCGACCGUAAACGAUGCCGACCGGA